RNAcentral lists this unclassified non-coding RNA (200 nucleotides) under Pseudogymnoascus sp. RNAcentral's name for it is "partial internal transcribed spacer 2". The record is from RNAcentral. Lineage: Eukaryota; Fungi; Ascomycota; Leotiomycetes; Thelebolales; Thelebolaceae.
UUAAGUUCAGCGGGUAUCCCUACCUGAUCCGAGGUCAACCUUGAUAAAUUGGGGGUUGUUGGCAGGCACAACACCUGGAAACUCCUGAGCGAGAAAAGUUACUACGCUUGAAGCCAGAUGGCACCGCCACUGAUUUUAAGACGCACCCAGAUGGUGACGCCCAAUACCAAGCAGAGCUUGAGGGUUGUAAUGACGCUCGA